RNAcentral lists this ribosomal RNA (559 nucleotides) under uncultured bacterium. RNAcentral describes it as "bacterial SSU rRNA". It matches the Rfam family "Bacterial small subunit ribosomal RNA", at positions 120 to 674 of the family's 1533-position model. The record is from RNAcentral.
GGGAAACUGCCUGGUGGAGGGGGAUAACUACUGGAAACGGUAGCUAAUACCGCAUAACGUCUUCGGACCAAAGUGGGGGACCUUCGGGCCUCAUGCCAUCAGAUGUGCCCAGAUGGGAUUAGCUAGUAGGUGGGGUAACGGCUCACCUAGGCGACGAUCCCUAGCUGGUCUGAGAGGAUGACCAGCCACACUGGAACUGAGACACGGUCCAGACUCCUACGGGAGGCAGCAGUGGGGAAUAUUGCACAAUGGGCGCAAGCCUGAUGCAGCCAUGCCGCGUGUAUGAAGAAGGCCUUCGGGUUGUAAAGUACUUUCAGCGAGGAGGAAGGCGUUAAGGUUAAUAACCUUAGCGAUUGACGUUACUCGCAGAAGAAGCACCGGCUAACUCCGUGCCAGCAGCCGCGGUAAUACGGAGGGUGCAAGCGUUAAUCGGAAUUACUGGGCGUAAAGCGCACGCAGGCGGUCUGUCAAGUCGGAUGUGAAAUCCCCGGGCUCAACCUGGGAACUGCAUUCGAAACUGACAGGCUAGAGUCUUGUAGAGGGGGGUAGAAUUCCAGGU